CACGUAGGGACCAAGCGUUGUCCGGAUUCAUUGGGCGUAAAGAGCUCGUAGGCGGUUCGAUAAGUCGGGUGUGAAACCUCCAGGCUCAACCUGGAGACGCCACCUGAUACUGCCGUGACUUGAGUCUGGUAGGGGAGUGUGGAAUUUCCGGUGUAGCGGUGAAAUGCGCAGAUAUCGGAAGGAACACCGGUGGCGAAGGCGGCCCGCUGGGCUGUGGCUGACGCUGAGGCGCGACAGCGUGGGGAGCAAACAGG
RNAcentral lists this ribosomal RNA (254 nucleotides) under uncultured bacterium. RNAcentral describes it as "partial 16S ribosomal RNA". It matches the Rfam family "Bacterial small subunit ribosomal RNA", at positions 524 to 776 of the family's 1533-position model. The record is from RNAcentral.